CGGGGAAUGGCUUAGUGGUAUAGCGCUCGCUUGGGGUGCGAGAGAUCCCGAGUUCGAUUCUCGGUUCCCCGA
RNAcentral lists this transfer RNA (72 nucleotides) under Elusimicrobiaceae bacterium. RNAcentral describes it as "tRNA-Pro". It matches the Rfam family "tRNA". From Rfam's summary of the family: Transfer RNA (tRNA) molecules are approximately 80 nucleotides in length. Their secondary structure includes four short double-helical elements and three loops (D, anti-codon, and T loops). Lineage: Bacteria; Pseudomonadati; Elusimicrobiota; Elusimicrobia; Elusimicrobiales; Elusimicrobiaceae. The record is from RNAcentral.